Acanthosepion pharaonis is the source of this 114-nucleotide non-coding RNA. Lineage: Eukaryota; Metazoa; Mollusca; Cephalopoda; Sepiida; Sepiidae. The record is from the annotation of a GenBank genome assembly.
UUACGGCCACAUUACAUUGAAACACUGAUUGCCGUGCGAUCACCAACGUUAAACAAUGUUGAACAUGAUCAGUAAUUAGAUGGGUGAUCGCUUGGAAAUACCAGGUGCUGUCGG